This 473-nucleotide long non-coding RNA is filed under the name Carica papaya (papaya). Its description in RNAcentral is "long non-coding RNA (CPAP_LNC005047)". The record is from RNAcentral. Lineage: Eukaryota; Viridiplantae; Streptophyta; Magnoliopsida; Brassicales; Caricaceae.
AUGUGAAGCAGGCGAGAAAGAAGAGAUAUUGUACAGUUGUAGCAGCUGUUGGAGAUUUAUCAGCCGAUAGUACAACCUAUCUGCUUGCCGGUGCUGCUACUGUUGCCUUGCUCGGAACUGCCUUUCCAGUCCUCUUCUCCCGCAAGGACCUGUAAGUCUAACAUUUCCCUUAUUUCUGCUCUUCCUGUGUUGAUUCAAUUUUAGUCCCAUCCAACAAAUAUCUGGUUGUAUGAUGGUCCACGGCAGAUGUCCAGAAUGCGAUGGAGCUGGGUUUGUUCGGAAAUCCGGAGCAGCCUUGAGGGCAAAUGCAGCUCGUAAGGACCAGGCUCAAAUAGUUUGUCCCCGUUGCAACGGCCUCGGAAAACUAAACCAAAUCGACAAAUAAACUCCUCUCUGUUGUUGUCAAUUAUUAGGCAUAAACAAACUCAUCUGAUGUAAAAUUUGUAUUCUCCUCUGCAUACACCUCAGUUUCU